AGGGCCUUGCGCAGUCUAUAGCUGCAUCCAGCCAAAUACUAGUAGAACCCAAAACAUUGUUUUGACAAGUACUGUCAUAUUUCGGUUGCAGGUUUUCACUAAAUACCAAGCUGAUCCUACGAGCUACCCAGCUACGACAGUUUUACCUACAAAUGUUUAGCGUUUCGUGCUGCAACUAUUAGUUGAUAUUCUAGGAUGUUAUGCCUAAAAUUGGAAUUCAGCUAUCAGAGAUUACCAAAUUUCAAGCGGAAACUCUAGAUGGCGCUGAUGUGCGUUUAUGAUGAAGAUUAUGAGUGACUAGUUAAAUGGGUGUUUUUUACGUUACACUGUUAAGUGUUUUUCAAAGGAUUUUUCGUCAAAAAAUUUACGAUUGCUUUUUGUAUAUGAGGGUGUUUUGCCUGCUGCUUCAGCUGCUGAACCAGUAGUCUGCAUUCCUGCUAUCACUGUACCACAAGAGAUCCUGACACUUUAAGAAGGCCACUAAUGCUUACAUGAAGAUCACACUCCAGUUCAAAGUUUUCAUCUACUUUGUGUUGCUAAUCAUCAGCCCUCAGCAUCGCAGGUAUCCAGAUUUCCAAGUUUCUCUGAUUAGCCAACCAUCAUCCAUACCCUUCAGCUCUUCAUUGUGGCUUUUUCUUCAUCUCUUCUUAGUCUGCUGAAUGCCAACAUCGAAUAAGGUUCAUCAUCAUUGCCUUUCCAUGCCAGCUCACAUGGAUAGGCUUUAACAACAUAUCCAUUUUAUGGACUGCAAAUAUUCAUCUUCCUUCGGUACAACACUGCCGUUUUGACAAUUUCGGUAGUUUCGCCCUUAGUGGACCACACUUUCUAUUUAGAACUACAUUUUCCUCGUCUCCCUGUCGUUAUUGUCUACGGCUUCACCUCAUCGCUGUCUUCGUUGACGUCUUAGCCUUCAUCUCCUUUUCAGCCUUCAUCUCCGUCUCAGUCUUCAUCUCCGUCUCAGCCUUCAUCUCCGUCUCAGCCUUCAUCUCCGUCUCAGCCUUCAUCUCCGUCUCAGCCUUCAUCUCCGUCUCAGCCUUCAUCUCCGUCUCAGCCUUCAUCUCCGUCUCAGCCUUCAUCUCCGUCUCGUCGUCUUCGCCGUCUUUGUCUACGCCAUCACCUCGUCGCCGGCUUCUCCUUCGCCCUUCACGUAGGGAAUUCACCGUGGAUCGUCGCUCUGGUAUUGUUUUAUUUUGCAUUGUUAUGUUUAAGUUAACCCGUUGGCUGCCACCCCGUUUGCGUCCCAUUUUUUUUGUAGCUUGUAGGGACCGGCCGCAAUGGCCUUCGCCGUAAGGCGCCUUAGGCAA
RNAcentral lists this long non-coding RNA (1304 nucleotides) under Daphnia magna. RNAcentral's name for it is "uncharacterized LOC116916566, transcript variant X1". The record is from RNAcentral. Lineage: Eukaryota; Metazoa; Arthropoda; Branchiopoda; Diplostraca; Daphniidae.